This 279-nucleotide ribosomal RNA is filed under the name uncultured bacterium. Its description in RNAcentral is "partial 16S ribosomal RNA". It matches the Rfam family "Bacterial small subunit ribosomal RNA", at positions 506 to 784 of the family's 1533-position model. The record is from RNAcentral.
UGCCAGCCGCCGCGGUAAUACGGAGGGGGUUAGCGUUGUUCGGAAUUACUGGGCGUAAAGCGCACGUAGGCGGAUUAGUAAGUUAGGGGUGAAAUCCCGGGGCUCAACCCCGGAAUUGCCUUCAAUACUGCUAGUCUUGAGUUCGAGAGAGGGUGGUGGAAUUCCCAGUGUAGAGGUGAAAUUCGUAGAUAUUGGGAAGAACACCAGUGGCGAAGGCGGCCACCUGGCCAGAUACUGACGCUGAGGUGCGAAAGCGUGGGGAGCAAACAGGAUUAGAUA